UUGAACGCUGGCGGCAUGCCUUACACAUGCAAGUCGAACGGCAGCACGGGGGCAACCCUGGUGGCGAGUGGCGAACGGGUGAGUAAUACAUCGGAACGUGUCCUGUAGUGGGGGAUAGCCCGGCGAAAGCCGGAUUAAUACCGCAUACGAUCUACGGAAGAAAGCGGGGGACCGAAAGGCCUCGCGCUAUAGGGGCGGCCGAUGGCAGAUUAGCUAGUUGGUGGGGUAAAGGCCUACCAAGGCGACGAUCUGUAGCUG
RNAcentral lists this ribosomal RNA (258 nucleotides) under Burkholderia sp. ISO641_OTU58. Its description in RNAcentral is "partial 16S ribosomal RNA". It matches the Rfam family "Bacterial small subunit ribosomal RNA", at positions 30 to 289 of the family's 1533-position model. RNAcentral also lists the same sequence under 11 other names. Lineage: Bacteria; Pseudomonadati; Pseudomonadota; Betaproteobacteria; Burkholderiales; Burkholderiaceae. The record is from RNAcentral.